GCAUAUCAAUAAGCGGAGGAAAAGAAACCAACAGGGAUUGCCCUUAGUAACGGCGAAGUGAAGCGGCAACAGCUCAAAUUUGAAAUCUGGCCUCACGGUCCGAAUUGUAAUUUGUAGAGGAUGUUUCUGGCGACGUGUCUUCCGAGUUCCCUGGAACGGGACGCCAUAGAGGGUGAGAGCCCCGUCCGGUCGUACACCUAGCCUCUGUGAAACUCCUUCGACGAGUCGAGUAGUUUGGGAAUGCUGCUCUAAAUGGGAGGUAUACGUCUUCUAAAGCUAAAUACCGGCCAGAGACCGAUAGCGCACAAGUAGAGUGAUCGAAAGAUGAAAAGCACUUUGAAAAGAGGGUUAAAUAGUACGUGAAAUUGCUGAAAGGGAAGCGCUUAUGACCAGACUUGGGCUCGGUGAAUCAUCCGGCGUUCUCGCCGGUGCACUUUGCCGUCCCAGGCCAGCAUCAGUUCGCGCCGGGGGAUAAAGGUUUCGGGAAUGUAGCUCCCUCGGGAGUGUUAUAGCCCGUUGCGUAAUACCCUGGCGUGGACUGAGGUCCGCGCUCUGCAAGGAUGCUGGCGUAAUGGUCAUCAGUGACCCGUCUUGAAACACGGACCAAGGAGUCGUCUUCGUAUGCGAGUGUUCGGGUGUCAAACCCCUACGCGUAAUGAAAGUGAACGUAGGAGAGAGCUUCGGCGCAUCUCCGACCGAUCCUGAUGUUCUCGGAUGGAUUUGAGUAAGAGCAUACGGGGCCGGACCCGAAAGAAGGUGAACUAUGCCUGUAUAGGGUGAAGCCAGAGGAAACUCUGGUGGAGGCUCGCAGCGGUUCUGACGUGCAAAUCGAUCGUCAAAUAUGGGCAUGGGGGGCGAAAGACUAAUCGAACCUUCUAGUAGCUGGUUUCCGCCGAAG
Molecule: ribosomal RNA, 898 nt
Filed under: Acremonium sclerotigenum
Lineage: Eukaryota; Fungi; Ascomycota; Sordariomycetes; Hypocreales; Bionectriaceae
Description: LSU rRNA
Rfam family: Eukaryotic large subunit ribosomal RNA
Source: RNAcentral